This 759-nucleotide ribosomal RNA is filed under the name uncultured bacterium. RNAcentral's name for it is "bacterial SSU rRNA". It matches the Rfam family "Bacterial small subunit ribosomal RNA", at positions 28 to 777 of the family's 1533-position model. The record is from RNAcentral.
GAUGAACGCUAGCUACAGGCUUAACACAUGCAAGUCGAGGGGCAUCGGGAAGAAAGCUUGCUCUCUUUGCCGGCGACCGGCGCACGGGUGAGUAACACGUAUCCAACCUGCCCUUUACUCGGGGAUAGCCUUUCGAAAGAAAGAUUAAUACCCGAUAGCAUAAUGAUUCCGCAUGGUUUCAUUAUUAAAGGAUUCCGGUAAAGGAUGGGGAUGCGUUCCAUUAGGUUGUUGGUGGGGUAACGGCCCACCAAGCCUUCGAUGGAUAGGGGUUCUGAGAGGAAGGUCCCCCACAUUGGAACUGAGACACGGUCCAAACUCCUACGGGAGGCAGCAGUGAGGAAUAUUGGUCAAUGGGCGCUAGCCUGAACCAGCCAAGUAGCGUGAAGGAUGAAGGCUCUAUGGGUCGUAAACUUCUUUUAUAUAAGAAUAAAGUGCAGUAUGUAUACUGUUUUGUAUGUAUUAUAUGAAUAAGGAUCGGCUAACUCCGUGCCAGCAGCCGCGGUAAUACGGAGGAUCCGAGCGUUAUCCGGAUUUAUUGGGUUUAAAGGGAGCGUAGGUGGACUGGUAAGUCAGUUGUGAAAGUUUGCGGCUCAACCGUAAAAUUGCAGUUGAUACUGUCAGUCUUGAGUACAGUAGAGGUGGGCGGAAUUCGUGGUGUAGCGGUGAAAUGCUUAGAUAUCACGAAGAACUCCGAUUGCGAAGGCAGCUCACUGGACUGCAACUGACACUGAUGCUCGAAAGUGUGGGUAUCAAACCAGG